Molecule: ribosomal RNA, 497 nt
Filed under: uncultured bacterium
Lineage: Bacteria
Description: partial 16S ribosomal RNA
Rfam family: Bacterial small subunit ribosomal RNA
Source: RNAcentral
GAUGAACGCUGGCGGCGUGCCUAAUACAUGCAAGUCGAGCGAACGGACGAGAAGCUUGCUUCUCUUAUGUUAGCGGCGGACGGGUGAGUAACACGUGGAUAACCUACCUAUAAGACUGGGAUAACUUCGGGAAACCGGAGCUAAUACCGGAUAAUAUUUUGAACCGCAUGGUUCAAAAGUGCAAGACGUUCUUGCUGUCACUUAUAGAUGGAUCCGCGCUGCAUUAGCUAGUUGGUAAGGUAACGGCUUACCAAGGCAACGAUGCAUAGCCGACCUGAGAGGGUGAUCAGCCACACUGGAACUGAGACACGGUCCAGACUCCUACGGGAGGCAGCAGUAGGGAAUCUUGCGCAAUGGGCGAAAGCCUGACGGAGCAACGCCGCGUGAGUGAAGAAGGUCUUCGGAUCGUAAAACUCUUUUAUUAGGGAAGAACAUAUGUGUGAGUAUCUGUGGACAUCUUGACGUUACCAAAAGAGAAAGCAACGGCUAACUUCGUG